AACGAACGCUGGCGGCAUGCUAAUACAUGCAAGUCGAACGAGAUCUUCGGGUCUAGUGGCGCACGGGUGCGUAACGCGUGGGAAUCUACCCUUGGGUUCGGAAUAACAGUUGGAAACGACUGCUAAUACCGGAUGAUGACGAAAGUCCAAAGAUUUAUCGCCCAAGGAUGAGCCCGCGUAGGAUUAGCUAGUUGGUGAGGUAAAGGCUCACCAAGGCUACGAUCCUUAGCUGGUCUGAGAGGAUGAUCAGCCACACUGGGACUGAGACACGGCCCAGACUCCUACGGGAGGCAGCAGUAGGGAAUAUUGGACAAUGGGGGCAACCCUGAUCCAGCAAUGCCGCGUGAGUGAUGAAGGCCUUAGGGUUGUAAAGCUCUUUUACCCGAGAUGAUAAUGACAGUAUCGGGAGAAUAAGCUCCGGCUAACUCCGUGC
This 433-nucleotide ribosomal RNA is filed under the name uncultured Alphaproteobacteria bacterium. RNAcentral describes it as "bacterial SSU rRNA". It matches the Rfam family "Bacterial small subunit ribosomal RNA", at positions 29 to 508 of the family's 1533-position model. The record is from RNAcentral. Lineage: Bacteria; Pseudomonadati; Pseudomonadota; Alphaproteobacteria.